Molecule: ribosomal RNA, 253 nt
Filed under: uncultured bacterium
Lineage: Bacteria
Description: partial 16S ribosomal RNA
Rfam family: Bacterial small subunit ribosomal RNA
Source: RNAcentral
UACAGAGGUCCCAAGCGUUGUUCGGAUUCACUGGGCGUAAAGAGUGUGUAGGCGGUGUUCUAAGUCUGGUGUGAAAUCUCCCGGCUCAACUGGGAGGGUGCGCUAGAAACUGGAAUGCUAGAGGAUGGGAGAGGUAAGCGGAAUUCCUGGUGUAGCGGUGAAAUGCGUAGAUAUCAGGAGGAACACCUGUGGUGUAGACAGCUUACUGGACCAUUUCUGACGCUGAGACACGAAAGCGUGGGUAGCAAACAGG